CUGGCGUUCGGCUGCCGGGCACCUUCAUGUACAGCUGCACCGUGUUCAUGCCCAGGAUGGUGUGGCCCACGUGGCUCAGCAUGUUGCCCGUGGAUGUUACCCGCAUGAAGGCGGGCAGCUUCAGCAGCUCCUGCAGCUGGGGCUUCCACCUGCGGUGCGGAAGUGCGACGAGAGGCUACACCCCGCCCCCGCCACGAGGUCCUAGCAGCACUCCUGCCCCAACUUCCCUGGCCUCAGCCCCACUGACCGCUUAGCAUCAGACAAGUCGAUGUUGGUGCCAAACUUGAUGAUGUGAUGGUUCUUCGGGUCUGGUGCGCUGCUGCUGGGGCGAAGAGCACAGCCAGAGGGUAGGCAGGCCUGGGUCAGAGACCUUUCGAGAGCCCUCCCACCGCAGCCCCGUCCCAGGACCUGCCUCUGGCCACGUUCUCAUCUCACCUGCAGAGACUCCUGGAAGGAUGAGGCCUGGUACUGUGCGUACUUGGCAAUGGUGGUGUGGGAACGGGAGCUCUCACAAGGCCAGAUCUGCCGAGUGCCUGUCAGAUCCCAGUUCUCAUCUGAGGGCUGCUGCACCUGGGUGCGAACUUCCACGGUGUGUUCGCCACUCGCUUCCACCAGGGUCUUGGUGGAGAAGAGGCCCAAGUCUGGAAGGGAGGGCCGAGCAGGGUGUCGGGGCAGAGGCAGAGGAUAGGGACCGAGGACCCAAUCGACCCUUUCCCUUCCUACUCCUCUGGCUCUGACAGGGUGGUCAUAGGUUUAGCAGAGCUCAGCCCAGAAGAAAUAGGCAGGAGCCCUAGCCCCACAGGAAGCUGGGAGUGCUGGCCUCUAUCUGCAUCCUCACCAGCCCUCUUUCUCCUGCAGCUGCUCAAGGACUCAGCCCCUAGACCAGUGUUCCCAGAUGUGUGCGUGGCCAUGUGCACCGCACCUGACAGACACAUAGUAGGUGCUCAAUGAAUGGCAGCUUCUUUUUUCCCCAUUUGGAGUCUAGUCAAAACAGCAGCUUCUUUGAGUUACCAUUGGAUCCAAUUAAAGAUUAAAGAUUCAGUCAAGUGAAAGCCUGAAAUGUGCUUCAAAUAACUCAGUGUGGGGAAGGGAGAACAUACAGGUAUAAAGGAGACAAGAUUGACCUUUGUAUUUCUAUACAGCUUUCUCUAAUUUUGUAUGUGUUUGAAAUUCUGCGCAAUAAAAGACUGAGAGAGAGCCCCAA
Molecule: long non-coding RNA, 1204 nt
Organism: Homo sapiens (human)
Lineage: Eukaryota; Metazoa; Chordata; Mammalia; Primates; Hominidae
Exons: 2
Source: RefSeq, a predicted model, not a curated record